UGGCAUCUUUAGUAAACCCCCCAGUUGCAAUCUGUGGCCCCUGGGACAAGAAAAGGUGCAAGAUCAAUCUUAGAACAUCCAAAACAGAGAGCCACUUGUUUGACUCUUUGUUAUUUCACCUCUAAGACAAAA
Molecule: non-coding RNA, 132 nt
Organism: Nerophis lumbriciformis (worm pipefish)
Lineage: Eukaryota; Metazoa; Chordata; Actinopteri; Syngnathiformes; Syngnathidae
Source: RefSeq, a predicted model, not a curated record